Molecule: ribosomal RNA, 468 nt
Filed under: uncultured bacterium
Lineage: Bacteria
Description: partial 16S ribosomal RNA
Rfam family: Bacterial small subunit ribosomal RNA (bases 59-468)
Source: RNAcentral
GGGGGGGGGGGGGGGGGGGGGGGGGGGGGGGGGGGCGGGGGGGGGGGGGGGGGGGGGGGGGGGGGGUCGAGGGGCGAACGGGGGGGGAACACGGGAGUCACCGGCCCCUGGCGGGGGGGUAACUGCAGGCAACGGGGGCUAAUACCGGAUAGGAGCUCCUGGUGCAUGGUGGUGGUUGGAAAGUUUCGGCGGUUGGGGAUGGACUCGCGGCUUAUCAGCUUGUUGGUGGGGUAGUGGCUUACCAAGGCUUUGACGGGUAGCCGGCCUGAGAGGGUGACCGGCCACAUUGGGACUGAGAUACGGCCCAGACUCCUACGGGAGGCAGCAGUGGGGAAUAUUGCACAAUGGGCGGAAGCCUGAUGCAGCAACGCCGCGUGCGGGAUGACGGCCUUCGGGUUGUAAACCGCUUUCGCCUGUGACGAAGCGUGAGUGACGGUAAUGGGUAAAGAAGCACCGGCUAACUACGUG